GUCGAGAGGCGGCCUGCUAUACAUGCAAGUCGAGCGCGGGAAGCCGGCGGACUCCUUCGGGAGGAAACCGGUGGAACGAGCGGCGGACGGGUGAGUAACACGUGGGCAACCUGCCGGACUGAUGGGAAUAACCCCGGGAAACCGGGGCUAAUGCCCAAUACGCCCUGACCUCGCCUGAGGUCAGCGGCAAAGCAGGGAUCUUCGGAUCCUUGCACAGUCCGAUGGGCCCGCGGCGCAUUAGCUAGUUGGAGAGGUAAGGGCUCCCCAAGGCGACGAUGCGUAGCCGACCUGAGAGGGUGAUCGGCCACACUGGGACUGAGACACGGCCCAGACUCCUACGGGAGGCAGCAGUAGGGAAUCAUCCGCAAUGGGCGAAAGCCUGACGGUGCAACGCCGCGUGAGUGAUGAAGGUUUUCGGAUCGUAAAGCUCUGUUGACAGGGAAGAACCCACGCCAGUCGAACAGGCUGGCGUGCUGACGGUACCUGUCCAGAAAGCCCCGGCUAACUACGUGCCAGCAGCCGCGGUAAUACGUAGGGGGCAAGCGUUGUCCGGAAUUAUUGGGCGUAAAGGGCACGCAGGCGGUUUCGUCAGUCCGAUGUGACAGGCCACGGCUCAACCGUGGAAGGCCAUUGGAAACUGCGAAACUUGAGGACAGAAGAGGAGAGUGGAAUUCCACGUGUAGCGGUGAAAUGCGUAGAUAUGUGGAGGAACACCAGUGGCGAAGGCGACUCUCUGGUCUGUACCUGACGCUGAGGUGCGAAAGCAUGGGGAGCAAACAGGAUUAGAUACCCUGGUAGUCCAUGCCGUAAACGCUGAGUGCUAGGUGUUAGGGGUUUCGAUACCCGUAGUGCCGAAGCUAACGCAUUAAGCACUCCGCCUGGGGAGUACGACCGCAAGGUUGAAACUCAAAGGAAUUGACAGGGGCCCGCACAAGCGGUGGAGCAUGUGGUUUAAUUCGACGCAACGCGAAGAACCUUACCAGAUCUUGACAUCUUCCGCUACGCCUCGAGAGAGGCGGUUCCUCUUCGGGGGACGAAUGACAGGUGGUGCAUGGUGUCGUCAGCUCUGUUCGUGAGAAUGUUGGGUUAAGUCCGCCACGAGCGCAACCCCUAAAUCCUAGUGCAGCAUUCAGUGGCACUCUUAGGUGACUGCCGGUGAACAAACGGAAGAAGGUGGGAUGACGUUCAUCAUCAUGCCCUUAGAUCUGGUUACACUGCUACAUGGAUGUAUCAACGGAACCGCUAACCUCUCCCAAGGGAG
This 1261-nucleotide ribosomal RNA is filed under the name Marinococcus sp. HL88. RNAcentral describes it as "bacterial SSU rRNA". It matches the Rfam family "Bacterial small subunit ribosomal RNA", at positions 28 to 1267 of the family's 1533-position model. The record is from RNAcentral. Lineage: Bacteria; Bacillati; Bacillota; Bacilli; Caryophanales; Bacillaceae.